Molecule: long non-coding RNA, 316 nt
Filed under: Homo sapiens (human)
Lineage: Eukaryota; Metazoa; Chordata; Mammalia; Primates; Hominidae
Description: non-protein coding lnc-TTC30B-5:1
Source: RNAcentral
UCAGUACAGUGGUGGCAGCUGGACUGGCCAUUUCUGCUGCAGGUUUUGCAAGUCAGGAAGCACAUAUAGCCUGAAGUAAAACAGGAUUUUCAAAGUCUACCAAAAUCUGCCUUCAGCGGUGGCUAUUAGAGAGGUGGGCUUGAACUAAAAAGGACAAAAUGGGAAGCAGCAAUACUACCUCUAAGCCUUACUGCCAUUAAAGGAAAAAUAAGAGAUGCUCAGUAACAAAUAUGAUCUUAAAUCGCCCAAAGAAGGAUCUCCUUAUAUAGCAACCCAAAUCAAUGAAGCUAAGGAUUUACUACGUCAAGCUCAAAAA